Molecule: long non-coding RNA, 312 nt
Filed under: Arabidopsis thaliana (thale cress)
Lineage: Eukaryota; Viridiplantae; Streptophyta; Magnoliopsida; Brassicales; Brassicaceae
Description: long non-coding RNA (ATHA_LNC000172)
Source: RNAcentral
UCUACUUCCUUGAUAGCUGCAAGGUAACGCUCGCUUCAAGCUCUCCAAUGCUUCACUCUCCCAUAUAUCAUCUACCACCACAAGAUAUCUUUUCUCUUGUAGAAUAUCAUGAAGGUAAACUUCUAACUCCUGCUGAGCCAUCUUUUCAAGCUCUCCCUCAGAUGUUUCUUCCAAAGAGCUUAUGAUUCUCAUAAGUAUAUCUCUUGUAUUACAUUCUCCAGAAACAUUAGUCCAUACUCGAUAUUCAAAGCUUUCCUUCACAUCGCUAGAGUUAAAAAGCUUUCUUGCAAGAGAAGUCUUCCCGAGACCUUC